This 500-nucleotide ribosomal RNA is filed under the name uncultured bacterium. RNAcentral describes it as "partial 16S ribosomal RNA". It matches the Rfam family "Bacterial small subunit ribosomal RNA", at positions 30 to 523 of the family's 1533-position model. The record is from RNAcentral.
AUUGAACGCUGGCGGAAUGCUUUACACAUGCAAGUCGAACGGCAGCACGGACUUCGGUCUGGUGGCGAGUGGCGAACGGGUGAGUAAUACAUCGGAACGUGCCCAGUCGUGGGGGAUAACGUAGCGAAAGCUACGCUAAUACCGCAUACGAUCUAAGGAUGAAAGCGGGGGAUCGCAAGACCUCGCGCGAUUGGAGCGGCCGAUGGCAGAUUAGGUAGUUGGUAGGGUAAAGGCCUACCAAGCCGACGAUCUGUAGCUGGUCUGAGAGGAUGAUCAGCCAAACUGGGACUGAGACACGGCCCAGACUCCUACGGGAGGCAGCAGUGGGGAAUUUUGGACAAUGGGCGCAAGCCUGAUCCAGCCAUUCGGCGUGCAGGAUGAAGGCCUUCGGGUUGUAAACUGCUUUUGUACAGAACGAAAAGGCUCUGGUUAAUACCCGGGGCUCAUGACGGUACUGUAAGAAUAAGCACCGGCUAACUACGUGCCAGCAGCCGCGGUAA